CCCGCCGUAGCUCAGCGGCAGAGCGCCCGGCUGUAGGGGUUACCCGCCCACCAAACUACCCGCCCUGGGGUUGGAUGAGGGUGGGUCGGCAGUUACCGGGUGGUCGGGGGUUCAAGUCCCCCCGGCGGGA
This 130-nucleotide transfer RNA is filed under the name Thermogladius calderae 1633. RNAcentral's name for it is "Thermogladius cellulolyticus 1633 tRNA". It matches the Rfam family "tRNA". From Rfam's summary of the family: Transfer RNA (tRNA) molecules are approximately 80 nucleotides in length. Lineage: Archaea; Thermoproteati; Thermoproteota; Thermoprotei; Desulfurococcales; Desulfurococcaceae. The record is from Rfam by way of RNAcentral.